RNAcentral lists this small nuclear RNA (23 nucleotides) under Arabidopsis thaliana (thale cress). RNAcentral's name for it is "snRNA_00177". The record is from RNAcentral. Lineage: Eukaryota; Viridiplantae; Streptophyta; Magnoliopsida; Brassicales; Brassicaceae.
AAUAGGUAAAGCCUCCAAAACAA